ACCCUGGGAUGCCAUUACCAUCUUACUGGGCAGCAUUGGAUGUUUUCUGUGUUUCUAAUACUGCCUGGUAAUGAUGAUUAUGGUGUCUCGCAC
Chrysemys picta bellii (western painted turtle) is the source of this 93-nucleotide microRNA precursor. The record is from Ensembl. Lineage: Eukaryota; Metazoa; Chordata; Testudines; Emydidae.